RNAcentral lists this ribosomal RNA (1372 nucleotides) under uncultured bacterium. Its description in RNAcentral is "bacterial SSU rRNA". It matches the Rfam family "Bacterial small subunit ribosomal RNA", at positions 28 to 1381 of the family's 1533-position model. The record is from RNAcentral.
GAUGAACGCUGGCGGCGUGCCUAAUACAUGCAAGUCGAGCGAACAGACGAGGAGCUUGCUCCUUUGACGUUAGCGGCGGACGGGUGAGUAACACGUGGGUAACCUACCUAUAAGACUGGGAUAACUUCGGGAAACCGGAGCUAAUACCGGAUAAUAUUUCGAACCGCAUGGUUCGAUAGUGAAAGAUGGCUUUGCUAUCACUUAUAGAUGGACCUGCGCCGUAUUAGCUAGUUGGUAAGGUAACGGCUUACCAAGGCAACGAUACGUAGCCGACCUGAGAGGGUGAUCGGCCACACUGGAACUGAGACACGGUCCAGACUCCUACGGGAGGCAGCAGUAGGGAAUCUUCCGCAAUGGGCGAAAGCCUGACGGAGCAACGCCGCGUGAGUGAUGAAGGUCUUCGGAUCGUAAAACUCUGUUAUUAGGGAAGAACAAACGUGUAAGUAACUGUGCACGUCUUGACGGUACCUAAUCAGAAAGCCACGGCUAACUACGUGCCAGCAGCCGCGGUAAUACGUAGGUGGCAAGCGUUAUCCGGAAUCAUUGGGCGUAAAGCGCGCGUAGGCGGUUUUUUAAGUCUGAUGUGAAAGCCCACGGCUCAACCGUGGAGGGUCAUUGGAAACUGGAAAACUUGAGUGCAGAAGAGGAAAGUGGAAUUCCAUGUGUAGCGGUGAAAUGCGCAGAGAUAUGGAGGAACACCAGUGGCGAAGGCGACUUUCUGGUCUGUUACUGACGCUGAUGUGCGAAAGCGUGGGGAUCAAACAGGAUUAGAUACCCUGGUAGUCCACGCCGUAAACGAUGAGUGCUAAGUGUUAGGGGGUUUCCGCCCCUUAGUGCUGCAGCUAACGCAUUAAGCACUCCGCCUGGGGAGUACGACCGCAAGGUUGAAACUCAAAGGAAUUGACGGGGACCCGCACAAGCGGUGGAGCAUGUGGUUUAAUUCGAAGCAACGCGAAGAACCUUACCAAAUCUUGACAUCCUUUGACCCUUCUAGAGAUAGAAGUUUCCCCUUCGGGGGACAAAGUGACAGGUGGUGCAUGGUUGUCGUCAGCUCGUGUCGUGAGAUGUUGGGUUAAGUCCCGCAACGAGCGCAACCCUUAAGCUUAGUUGCCAUCAUUAAGUUGGGCACUCUAAGUUGACUGCCGGUGACAAACCGGAGGAAGGUGGGGAUGACGUCAAAUCAUCAUGCCCCUUAUGAUUUGGGCUACACACGUGCUACAAUGGACAAUACAAAGGGCAGCGAAACCGCGAGGUCAAGCAAAUCCCAUAAAGUUGUUCUCAGUUCGGAUUGUAGUCUGCAACUCGACUACAUGAAGCUGGAAUCGCUAGUAAUCGUAGGUCAGCAUGCUACGGUGAAUACGUUCCCGGGUCU